This is a long non-coding RNA of Struthio camelus australis, 1054 nucleotides long. RefSeq lists it as uncharacterized. The record is from RefSeq and is a predicted model, not a curated record. Lineage: Eukaryota; Metazoa; Chordata; Aves; Struthioniformes; Struthionidae.
UUUCUUAAAAAAAAAGAGCAGUGUCUUUGAGACACUGGCCAUCUGCUUGAGUUUCAGAUGCUCUUUUGGGUCACCUGAGGUUAUCGGUAUAGUAAGAUUCCAGGUUCAUGGCUUCCUAUUAAAAAGUCAUCAAAAUAGGAGUUGAUCUUCCAUGCACCUCUUGAUAUGCACGAAACUCCCUGCACAUACACACAUAUGUAUAUACCUUAAGUAAAAUUCUGUGAGUGUACUCUUCCUUUUGGUAUUCUGCAUGCUUUUGUGCAGCUUGUAUUCAGAUCUAGUUGUUCUGGCAUGCAAUUGUUUGAUAGAGUGUGCUUAGAACCACGUCAGGUUCAAAUGCAAUUAUUUCACCUUCAUGAAUAAAAUAAAUUUGCGUCUCUCUGUCUGGAAAUGCCAUUUGCUUGCUAGUUUGUGGAUGUUUUAUGCCGAUAGCUAUUUGUUCCCCUUUCAGUGCCUGCAAUCUAAUCAGACAAGUACGGGGGAAAUAUCAGCAAGGCUCUUUCAGUUCAAGAUACAUAAAGGACCAGGAAAUCCUCCAUUAUCCUCCAUCAUUAAAAGCCUCAAAAGGUAUAUAUUUUCAAUGAAAACAGGUAUUCUAAUUCUGUGGAAAUACUCAUCGAGAUCCAGAACUGACAUAAGUCACAGUAAUGCCCAGAGACUGCGGUGGAGCCAUGCCAUUUUACACCAGCUGAUCUGACCUCUGCUAGUGCAUCUUCUGUAGUUACAUUUCUGCAUUUCUCAUGUGUUAGUAACUGGAUUUAUAAACAAUGUGGUAGAGUUUGAGUUCUAAAAUACCUGUAGCUUCUAUAAAACUCUUAGAGCAACAUUAACUGUUAAUAUUUCAGAUAUUUUGAUCAUCUAAGUGAAUGAAAUGCCACAACUUCUUAGGAACAAAUAAUGAAUGUUCACUGUUUGCAAUGUUCAAACAACGAUAUUUUAGGCUCUCAAGUGCUUUCUGUUCCUUUUUUUUUUUUUAAUUUAUUUCCAAAGGAUCAGUCUUGUUAAAAUCAGAAGGAAAAAAAUAAAGGGUAUUGUGAGUAUAUUAGUGUCAAAA